Molecule: ribosomal RNA, 253 nt
Filed under: uncultured bacterium
Lineage: Bacteria
Description: partial 16S ribosomal RNA
Rfam family: Bacterial small subunit ribosomal RNA
Source: RNAcentral
GACGAACCGUGCAAACGUUGUUCGGAAUCACUGGGCUUAAAGGGCGCGUAGGCGGUCGAUCCAGUCCGGGGUGAAAUCCUGCAGCUUAACUGUAGAAGUGCCUUGGAUACUGAUCGGCUCGAGGGAGGUAGGGGUCAUUGGAACUUCUGGUGGAGCGGUGAAAUGCGUUGAUAUCAGAAGGAACGCCGGUGGCGAAAGCGAAUGACUGGACCUCUUCUGACGCUGAGGCGCGAAAGCCAGGGGAGCAAACGGG